AUGGAGAAAGCGGUGAGAGCAUACGCAGAGGUUCUGAGGCUUGUAAGGCGUUUACCAAAGGAUUCAAGGGGUUAUUAUGCCAAAUACGCACGCGAGAACUUCGUCAAUUACCGUGAAGUCGAUCCCUCUGAUUCCACAACUCUCCAUGAUCUCUUUCAACGUACCUACACUCAUUCCGUAUGGGUCCUCCAUAAGUAUUCAGUCCAUGAAUCUGCCGCUCAUAAGUUGAAGCGGAUAUGUCGCGGUUAG
Vicia faba (fava bean) is the source of this 249-nucleotide non-coding RNA. The record is from the annotation of a GenBank genome assembly. Lineage: Eukaryota; Viridiplantae; Streptophyta; Magnoliopsida; Fabales; Fabaceae.